UAAUUCUUUUCAGCUCUUGUAAGACCUCUGCUUGCAUAUGCUAUUACUUUCUUCAGUCCAUGAUGUUCUUGGUACAAAACUGCUCCUAGUCCAUUUUGACAGGCAUCGGUAUGUAAUUCAAACGGCUUGUUGAAGUCUGGAAAGGUAAGUAUUGGUGGUGAUGAUAAAUGUUGUUUUAGUUGAUGGAAUGCUGUUUCUUGUUCUUUAUUCCAUAUCCAAGGUUUACGUUGUUGUUUCUGAUCUUUCUUUCCUCUUACUUUUCUUCCUGUUGAUGGCAUAAGAUCAGUGAGUGGACGUGCGAUCUUUGAGAAAUCUCGUAUAAACUUCCUGUAAUAACCCACGAAUCCAAGAAAUUGGCGGACUUCUUCUGCUGUUGUUG
Molecule: long non-coding RNA, 379 nt
Filed under: Mytilus galloprovincialis (Mediterranean mussel)
Lineage: Eukaryota; Metazoa; Mollusca; Bivalvia; Mytilida; Mytilidae
Source: RNAcentral